RNAcentral lists this unclassified non-coding RNA (276 nucleotides) under rhizosphere metagenome. RNAcentral's name for it is "partial ribosomal RNA internal transcribed spacer region". The record is from RNAcentral.
GUAGGUGAACCUGCGGAAGGAUCAUUAAAAAGUACCGAGUGGCUUCAUGCCACGGGUUAAUGCACCGAUGCCCCGUGGGCACGUGACGUGUAAAAUUACUUGUUGAAGCACUUUAUUUAUGCUUCGGUUGCUUCUUCCGUUUAACCGCGGAGGGGUAAGUCGGCCAGAGGCACACUUUAAAAACUAGUUGAUGAAAUGUCAUGCUGUCUGAUACUGUUUAGUAUUUGAGAAAUCGAAUAUCUGUUAAAACUUUCAGCAACGGAUCUCUUGGUUCUC